ACGCCGCGUCCCGAGCGGCCGGCGGCCGGAGCUCGCCCCCGCCCCUCCCUCCUCUCCGGCGGCGGCGGCGGCGGCGGCGGCGGGCGGAGUGAGCUGCGGAGCCUGGAAUAUGGUCGGGGAAAUGGAAACGAAGGAGAAGCCGAAGCCCACCCCAGAUUACUUGAUGCAGCUGAUGAACGACAAGAAGCUCAUGAGCAGCCUGCCCAACUUCUGCGGGAUCUUCAACCACCUCGAGCGGCUGCUGGACGAAGAAAUUAGCAGAGUACGGAAAGACAUGUACAAUGACACGUUAAAUGGCAGUACAGAGAAAAGGAGCGCAGAGUUGCCUGAUGCUGUGGGGCCUCUUGUUCAGUUACAAGAGAAACUGUAUGUGCCGGUAAAAGAGUACCCAGAUUUUAAUUUUGUUGGGAGAAUCCUUGGACCUAGAGGACUUACAGCUAAACAACUUGAAGCAGAAACAGGAUGUAAAAUAAUGGUCCGAGGCAAAGGCUCAAUGAGGGACAAAAAGAAGGAAGAGCAAAAUAGAGGCAAGCCCAACUGGGAGCAUCUAAAUGAAGAUUUACAUGUACUAAUCACUGUGGAAGACGCUCAGAACAGAGCAGAAAUCAAGCUGAAGAGAGCGGUUGAAGAAGUGAAGAAGUUACUGGUACCUGCAGCUGAAGGAGAAGACAGCCUGAAGAAGAUGCAGCUGAUGGAGCUUGCAAUUCUGAAUGGCACCUACAGAGACGCCAACAUUAAAUCACCAGCCCUUGCCUUUUCUCUUGCAGCAACUGCCCAGGCUGCUCCAAGGAUCAUCACUGGGCCUGCGCCUGUCCUCCCACCAGCUGCUCUGCGUACACCUACGCCAGCUGGCCCUACCAUAAUGCCUUUGAUCAGACAAAUACAGACCGCUGUCAUGCCAAACGGAACUCCUCACCCAACUGCUGCAAUAGUCCCUCCAGGGCCUGAAGCUGGGUUAAUCUACACACCCUAUGAAUACCCCUACACGUUGGCACCAGCUACAUCAAUCCUUGAGUACCCUAUUGAACCCAGUGGUGUGUUAGAGUGGAUUGAAAUGCCAGUCAUGCCUGAUAUUUCAGCCCAUUGACUUGCUGGAUGAAGGACUAGAGUACAGCAGCGUAGAACACGACCAGUCAGUGUGGACAAACCCACUGCUUACCACACAGAGUUCUGAAACUUUAUUGUGUAUGACCUUGGUGCUGUGUGCCUGCUGUUGACUUUUAGGACUUUGAUCUUUCAAAGGUUCCCUGUCCCUGCCUCCCCAGCUUAAUAUUAAUUUGAAAAUCUUUAAUGAACUCGGACAUUAAGAUUUAAACUUGAAAAUUGAUUGUUCAUUUAAAGAAAGCCACAAUGCUCUGUAUGUUAUCUGUGUGUGUGCAUGCACUUAGGUGCCUUUUUGUUUAUAAACAUACAUUUUAUUGUACAUGUUUUCUGUCUUAAGUCAUUGUAUAAAAUAUAAGUCAGAAUUAUACCACAGAAAUGUUAGUGAGAGGCUGUAUUCUGUUGCACAUUACUUGAAGCAUUUAAAAAAAAAUAACAUGUAACCUAUAACCUUAUUUAAGUUUUCCUUUUUAUUAAUACUCCUUCCUGUGGCCCUGUGCAUGCUCCUUCCCAGAGCUCCUCUCCGCUGCGCUCACAGCAUCUGCUCCUGAGGAGUUAGGGCUCGUGGCUUCCAGCUGCUGCUCAUGCCUUGUCAGUACAACAGCUCCUAGUUUUGCCAGAUAGAAUUCUAUUUCUAUGCAAUCUGCUUAUCUAAAAUGAAAAAUAGAUUCUCACUCAGUUUACUGCUUAGAGACAGCAAGAGGCACUGCUGUAAAAUAUCUCAUGGUAAAGGAACAUGUUGUUUGGUUUGACUAGGACAUUUAUAAUUAUGAAAGCUUGAUUUAAACCAACAAAAUUAAGAGCAAAAUACGCAGGUACCCAAUUACCAUUUUAUUUUCAAGGUUCUCGAUAACAAGUACUGAGAAAAUACAAAUAUUGUUAUUUGUUUUGCCACCUAAGCAGUAAAACUGUGAUAUUGGCCCUUUGAAGAACUGAGGAAAAUAUUUUAAAUUCCCAAGUUAUACUAAAUUUGCACACAGAUAACAUGCAUGCUUAUGUAUCAAGUCUCACAUUAUCUUAAAAUAAGCAGUGCCCUUCAAAACAGCUGCAGACAUGUGUGUUGGUGGUAGUGAGGAGAUUGGUAUUAGCAUCAAAUCUUCAUUGAUGACUAAUGUUUAAUUCCCUUCCUUUUAUCUUUAGGUAUGGCUUUCCCAACGAAAGGCUAAGAAUUCAAGAACGGUCUUAACUGAACCCUCAUCAGAUCUGAAUUUAACAAAUGCUUAGUCUCAGCAGCCUCCGGGAAAAACCUUAGCCUAGCAGUCAGUGACUUACUUGCACUUUUUGCACAUAGAUAUAAAGUAAAAUGAUGCUAUUAAUUUGGAUUAGUCUGUAAUACUGCAAAGCAAUGGUAAUUUAUAAAGGAGUGUAUAGUAGAAUACUGACUGCUAAGUGUACUGUACUGUUUGCUUUACUAAUCACCUAAUUCAUUGCAGUUCAUACUUAUUGACUCAAAAGUUUAAAACCACAAUCUGUAGGCUUUAAGAGUUGCUUUUUAAACCUUUUUUUAAGUGAUAAACUCUGAAAGUUAAGGUCAGCAAAUAAUUGUCAGUAUUAAAUGUGGCAUUAUUUAAAUAGUCCUGCUGCAAGAAAGGCACUUCAGUGACUACGUGACUAGUAAAGCUCAGAUGUGUCUGGUUCCGUAGCGCGCGAGAGAUACUGUGACGUGGGGACUGUACAUGAAGGGACGAAGUAGGUGGAAGGCCAACCUGUUUGAGAUGAAUGCAAUAUUGAUAGAAGCAUAUACACAUGACAUACUACAGUUCAUUUUUAAACUACUGUGCCUUAACGUGUUUCUUAAGCUUUUGUAGUAAGUGAACAUUUGAGAUCCAUUUUGAUAAACCUGCUGUCGAUGUUUCCCUUAUGUAUGUUUUCUAACUUUGUCUUGGUAAUUGCAAUUUAACUAGGUGCGGUGGCUACUAAAGUUCGAAGGCACGAUAUGCGUGUCCAUCCUUACCAAAGGAUUGUGACCGCAGACCGAGCCGCCACCGGCAACUAACCUAUGACCUUCUGACCUCUGAACUCUUCACCCAAUGAUGACCUGACCAUGCCUGCCUGCUGAUCAGUUAACUGGUAAUCGCCUUUGCUUGCCUGUCGUCAGUGCAGCGAGCUGAGGCACUUGUCCGUUCGUCUUACCAUCUAACCAAACAAAAGACAAAGAAAUUGUCCUCCAACUCAGCUUUUCCCCCCUGUUUGGGUGAAAGUGGUUCUAGAACCUGCACUGAAUAGUAGUAAAGCAAUAAGGCCCGAUUCAUCCCACAGCACUGAUCAUCUUUCAAUGCCCCGCCCCAAGCGAACGGUAAGAAGGCCUCUCUUAAGAGGGGGAGACAGAUGGCCCUAGCUACUCAGUGGCAGAGGCAGUUACUGUGAGAGACUUGGAGGAAGUCAAAGCUCUCUCUGAAUGUACUGUGUGACAAUGCAUCAUGCAUGAACCUUCGGUCAGGGAUGUCAUUGGUGAAGUGACUUCAAAAGUAUUCAAAAUUUGACAUGCUGUUUGUUUAGUCACUACAGUGCCCUCAAAGGGCAGAAAACGCAGCCUUUUUAUAUUGCCUGCCAAAAUUUGAAGUAUUAGAACAAAGUGUGCCAUGAGAGAAAAACUGAACAAGGAGUUUUGAAAAGUAAUGCAAAGAGCAAAACUGCAACACUAUUUUUAAAAAGUUGAGUAUCUGAGUUAAAAUUUCCAAAUCUUUAUUUUACACCACCUUAAAAAUUAUAUGAGAACAAGGUACAUGCAUUAUGUGUCACAUUACUGGGCAAACUGUUCAAAUAUUUUUUUUAAGCCUCCCUGUAUAGAGAAUAUCAUUAAGGAUGUAAAAGCCAUGCUUGCCUAUUUGCUGUAUACAUGUAAUGAAAUUGUAGAUAAAGUGUAGUGCAUUGAAACAAAUGAACAAAAAGUAGAUACUUUUACUAUACAAGGGUGCUGGUGCAGAAAAAAAAAUAUAUUUUUGGAAAUGUAGCAUUUUAUACUUUCAAGUGUUAUAAAAAAAAAGAAAAAGAACAAAGAAACCCUUUAUUUCAUUAAAUGAUUUUUUCUGGUGGUUGUCAAGAAACAAAAGACCAAAAGAGCCUUUUUGUCUUUCUUUUUUAUUUUUUAAGUAUUGGAAUAA
RNA transcript from Acomys russatus (golden spiny mouse), 4205 nucleotides. It is a transcript of the gene named QKI, KH domain containing RNA binding, with no coding region annotated. NCBI's taxonomy places the organism in Eukaryota, Metazoa, Chordata, Mammalia, Rodentia, Muridae. The transcript is spliced from 8 exons. The record is from RefSeq and is a predicted model, not a curated record.